Molecule: ribosomal RNA, 615 nt
Filed under: Bacillus sp. IDA0077
Lineage: Bacteria; Bacillati; Bacillota; Bacilli; Caryophanales; Bacillaceae
Description: bacterial SSU rRNA
Rfam family: Bacterial small subunit ribosomal RNA
Source: RNAcentral
GCGGCGUGCCUAAUACAUGCAAGUCGAGCGAAUCUUUGGGAGCUUGCUCCCAUUGGUUAGCGGCGGACGGGUGAGUAACACGUGGGCAACCUGCCUGUAAGACUGGGAUAACUUCGGGAAACCGGAGCUAAUACCCGGAUAANNCUUUUAUCCUCUCAUGAGGAAAAACUGAAAGACGGUUUCGGCUGUCACUUACAGAUGGGCCCGCGGCGCAUUAGCUAGUUGGUGAGGUAACGGCUCACCAAGGCGACGAUGCGUAGCCGACCUGAGAGGGUGAUCGGCCACACUGGGACUGAGACACGGCCCAGACUCCUACGGGAGGCAGCAGUAGGGAAUCUUCCACAAUGGACGAAAGUCUGAUGGAGCAACGCCGCGUGAGCGAUGAAGGCCUUCGGGUCGUAAAGCUCUGUUGUUAGGGAAGAACAAGUAUCGGAGUAACUGCCGGUACCUUGACGGUACCUAACCAGAAAGCCACGGCUAACUACGUGCCAGCAGCCGCGGUAAUACGUAGGUGGCAAGCGUUGUCCGGAAUUAUUGGGCGUAAAGCGCGCGCAGGCGGUCCUUUAAGUCUGAUGUGAAAGCCCACGGCUCAACCGUGGAGGGUCAUUGGAAACU